RNAcentral lists this ribosomal RNA (466 nucleotides) under uncultured bacterium. RNAcentral describes it as "bacterial SSU rRNA". It matches the Rfam family "Bacterial small subunit ribosomal RNA", at positions 338 to 795 of the family's 1533-position model. The record is from RNAcentral.
CCUACGGGGGGCAGCAGUGGGGAAUCUUGCGCAAUGGGCGAAAGCCUGACGCAGCAACGCCGCGUGGAGGAUGAAGGCCUUUGGGUUGUAAACUCCUGUCGGCUGGGAAGAAAUCGUACGGUGCUCAUACCACCGUGCGUUGACUGUACCAGCAAAGGAAGCCCCGGCUAACUCUGUGCCAGCAGCCGCGGUAAUACAGAGGGGGCCAGCGUUAUUCGGAAUUAUUGGGCGUAAAGGGCGCGUAGGCGGCCAUGCGUGUCUUCCGUGAAAUCCCUCGGCUUAACUGAGGACGUGCGGAAGAAACUGCAAGGCUCGAGUCCGGGAGAGGGGGGUGGAAUUCCCAGUGUAGCGGUGAAAUGCGUAGAUAUUGGGAGGAACACCGGUGGCGAAGGCGGCCCCCUGGACCGGUACUGACGCUGAGGCGCGAAAGCGUGGGUAGCAAACGGGAUUAGAUACCCGAGUAGUC